Molecule: non-coding RNA, 1161 nt
Organism: Bactrocera oleae (olive fruit fly)
Lineage: Eukaryota; Metazoa; Arthropoda; Insecta; Diptera; Tephritidae
Source: RefSeq, a predicted model, not a curated record
GUUUUGUUUUAUAGAUUAAUCUAAAGUUUAUUUCAUAAAAAUGAACUGUACAAAACCAAGGUAUCCUAUUUAAAACCAGCAAAAUAUUUUUGGUGGGAUCAGACGUGUUUCAUUUGGUGUUCUCUGGACAGUGAAAAAUAAAGCUAUGGAACAAUUAUCGAGAGCUGACUAUGCUCGGUUAAGUGCAACCGAAAGGAAUGGGUACUUAAGGAAACUACGUGGAGAACACGAGAGUGAUUCGAGUAGGGUUUCUGAUAGCAAUGACGAAGACUGGAUUCCAGAAAAUAGAGCUAGACAUCAAAAUCAAUCGAAUAAGACACGGGAGCAGUAUUCGACAGUUGGAUUUCACGAGAUGGUUACCAUGUGUUCCUACGAUCCUAAAAAAAAUAAAUCUGUCAUUCUGACUGUCUCUACAAUGCAUUCAGAUAUAUCAGUUGGUGAUGACGCUAAACGAAAACCAGAAAUAAUAAAUUUUUAUAAAAAAAAUAAAGCUAGAGUUGACACAAUGGACCAAAUGGUGCGGAGAUACACCAAUCAACAACGAUCUUCGAGAUGGCCAAUGACAAUGUUCUUCAACAUGCUACAUAUUUCUUCACUUGCGGCAUAUAUAAUUUAUUAAGAAAAUAAUAAAACUAUUGUCAAAAAAAAGACAGAACGUCGUCAAUUUAUGCGUAAACUAAGUGAAGAACUAGCAUUGCCGAUGAUUGAACAUAGCACGGCGAAUCCACAAGUAAUGGGCCUCUUCUCAACAAAGAUUGCCAUUGAAAGUGUACUAGGCCAUAUACUGACAGAAACAGUCGUGAUAGAUUUGCAAAUGAGGUAUGCACUGCGACCUAGGGUCUAUUGUGCCCUGUCGUGAUAAAUCCUGGUCCAGAGAAACCAAAACAUAAAACUGGAAGGAAAAAAGUAACAGGAUCUUGUCAUGUCUGCAAUGCUUUGCCAAUAAGAAGACGGCGAAAAACAAGUAAGGCCUGUGCCAAUUGUCCCCAACCUGUGUGUGACGAGCACUCAGUUAAUCGUGUACAAUGUGUUCAAUGUCAUUAAUUAUAAAAAAAUGUGUAAUAUUUCUUUAUUUUUUAAAUAAAAUUUAGUUUCCUAUGCUUUCCACUGCAUUAAUAGAAAUGGUUGCUAAUAGGGCUGGCUAGAGUUUAAGCUUAUUUA